This 524-nucleotide ribosomal RNA is filed under the name Cnidaria environmental sample. RNAcentral's name for it is "SSU rRNA". It matches the Rfam family "Eukaryotic small subunit ribosomal RNA", at positions 620 to 1150 of the family's 1831-position model. The record is from RNAcentral. Lineage: Eukaryota; Metazoa; Cnidaria.
UAAAAAGCUCGUAGUUGGAUUUCGGGAUGGGCCAGUCGGUCUGCCGCGAGGUAAGUUACUGGCUGGUCUGUUCUUCCUCGCAAAGAAUGCGUGUGCUCUUCAUUGAGUGGGCGUAGGAUUUGCGACGUUUACUUUGAAAAAAUUAGAGUGUUCAAAGCAGGCUUACCGCUUGAAUACAUGAGCAUGGAAUAAUGGAAUAGGACUUUGGUCUUAUUUUGUUGGUUUCUAAGACCGAGGUAAUGAUUAAGAGGGACAGUUGGGGGCAUUCGUAUUUCGUUGUCAGAGGUGAAAUUCUUGGAUUUACGAAAGACGAACAACUGCGAAAGCAUUUGCCAAGAAUGUUUUCAUUAAUCAAGAACGAAAGUUAGAGGCUCGAAGACGAUCAGAUACCGUCCUAGUUCUGACCUUAAACGAUGCCGACUAGCGAUCGGGUUGUGUCGAUAUAAGACCUGCCCGGCAGCUUCCGGGAAACCAAAGUCUUUGGGUUCCGGGGGAAGUAUGGUUGGAAAGCUGAAACUUAAAGG